Scomber scombrus (Atlantic mackerel) is the source of this 76-nucleotide non-coding RNA. NCBI's taxonomy places the organism in Eukaryota, Metazoa, Chordata, Actinopteri, Scombriformes, Scombridae. The record is from the annotation of a RefSeq genome assembly.
ACCAGGAUGGCCGAGUGGUUAAGGCGCUGGACUUAAGUUCCAUAAGUCCACGUGGGUUCGAACCCCACUCCUGGUA